Molecule: ribosomal RNA, 253 nt
Filed under: uncultured bacterium
Lineage: Bacteria
Description: partial 16S ribosomal RNA
Rfam family: Bacterial small subunit ribosomal RNA
Source: RNAcentral
UACGAAGGGAGCUAGCGUUGUUCGGAAUCACUGGGCGUAAAGCGCACGUAGGCGGAUUUGUCAGUCAGGGGUGAAAUCCCAGGGCUCAACCUCGGAACUGCCUUUGAUACAGCAAGUCUUGAGUUCGAGAGAGGUGGGUGGAAUUCCUAGUGUAGAGGUGAAAUUCGUAGAUAUUAGGAAGAACACCGGUGGCGAAGGCGGCCCACUGGCUCGAUACUGACGCUGAGGUGCGAAAGCGUGGGGAGCAAACAGG